Molecule: ribosomal RNA, 1402 nt
Filed under: Dechloromonas hortensis
Lineage: Bacteria; Pseudomonadati; Pseudomonadota; Betaproteobacteria; Rhodocyclales; Azonexaceae
Description: bacterial SSU rRNA
Rfam family: Bacterial small subunit ribosomal RNA
Source: RNAcentral
GAACGGCAGCACGGGAGCAAUCCUGGUGGCGAGUGGCGAACGGGUGAGUAAUGUAUCGGAACGUACCUUUCAGUGGGGGAUAACGUAGCGAAAGUUACGCUAAUACCGCAUAUUCUGUGAGCAGGAAAGCAGGGGAUCGCAAGACCUUGCGCUGAUUGAGCGGCCGAUAUCAGAUUAGCUAGUUGGUGAGGUAAAGGCUCACCAAGGCGACGAUCUGUAGCGGGUCUGAGAGGAUGAUCCGCCACACUGGAACUGAGACACGGUCCAGACUCCUACGGGAGGCAGCAGUGGGGAAUUUUGGACAAUGGGGGCAACCCUGAUCCAGCCAUGCCGCGUGAGUGAAGAAGGCCUUCGGGUUGUAAAGCUCUUUCGGCCGGGAAGAAAUCGCAUAGGUUAAUACCCUGUGUGGAUGACGGUACCGGAAUAAGAAGCACCGGCUAACUACGUGCCAGCAGCCGCGGUAAUACGUAGGGUGCGAGCGUUAAUCGGAAUUACUGGGCGUAAAGCGUGCGCAGGCGGUUUCGUAAGACAGAGGUGAAAUCCCCGGGCUCAACCUGGGAACUGCCUUUGUGACUGCGAAGCUAGAGUACGGCAGAGGGGGGUGGAAUUCCACGUGUAGCAGUGAAAUGCGUAGAGAUGUGGAGGAACACCAAUGGCGAAGGCAGCCCCCUGGGUCGAUACUGACGCUCAUGCACGAAAGCGUGGGUAGCAAACAGGAUUAGAUACCCUGGUAGUCCACGCCCUAAACGAUGUCAACUAGGUGUUGGGUGGGUAAAACCAUUUAGUACCGGAGCUAACGCGUGAAGUUGACCGCCUGGGGAGUACGGCCGCAAGGUUAAAACUCAAAGGAAUUGACGGGGACCCGCACAAGCGGUGGAUGAUGUGGAUUAAUUCGAUGCAACGCGAAAAACCUUACCUACCCUUGACAUGUCCAGAAGCCCGAAGAGAUUUGGGUGUGCCCGAAAGGGAGCUGGAACACAGGUGCUGCAUGGCUGUCGUCAGCUCGUGUCGUGAGAUGUUGGGUUAAGUCCCGCAACGAGCGCAACCCUUGUCGUUAAUUGCCAUCAUUUAGUUGGGCACUUUAACGAGACUGCCGGUGACAAACCGGAGGAAGGUGGGGAUGACGUCAAGUCCUCAUGGCCCUUAUGGGUAGGGCUUCACACGUCAUACAAUGGUCGGUACAGAGGGUUGCCAAGCCGCGAGGUGGAGCCAAUCCCAGAAAGCCGAUCGUAGUCCGGAUCGUAGGCUGCAACUCGCCUGCGUGAAGUCGGAAUCGCUAGUAAUCGCGGAUCAGCAUGUCGCGGUGAAUACGUUCCCGGGUCUUGUACACACCGCCCGUCACACCAUGGGAGCGGGUUCCGCCAGAAGUAGGUAGCCUAACCGCAAGGGGGGCGCUACCACG